This 252-nucleotide ribosomal RNA is filed under the name uncultured bacterium. RNAcentral describes it as "partial 16S ribosomal RNA". It matches the Rfam family "Bacterial small subunit ribosomal RNA", at positions 524 to 776 of the family's 1533-position model. The record is from RNAcentral.
UACGUAGGUGGCGAGCGUUAUCCGGAAUUAUUGGGCGUAAAGCGUGCGCAGGCGGUCUGUUAAGUCUAAGAUUAAAGCCCGAAGCUUAACUUCGGUUCGUUUUAGAAACUAGCAGACUUGAGUGUGGUAGAGGCAAGUGGAAUUUCUAGUGUAGCGGUAGAAUGCGUAGAUAUUAGAAGGAACACCAGUGGCGAAGGCGACUUGCUGGGCCAUCACUGACGCUCAUGCACGAAAGCGUGGGGAGCAAAUAGG